GAUAGACGUUCUUCCAAAGUGACUGAGAUUUGCUUGAAACAUAAUAAUAUGCAUUUUUUGUUUUUCAGCGUACAGAGUGUUUUCUUACACAAGUCUCAGCAAAAUUCCUGUAGUACGGAUAUGGUUCUUUCCAUUUCACAUGUGAGAAAUCUGAGCGCAGAAAAGCACUGCUGUGUUCUCAGGCCCCCUCUCACUCCUCUUGGGCUUGGUUUCCACCACAGUCAAGGCAACCAGAGGACAAGAUGUGAACGAUGAAGCUACAUCAGAACUGAAAGGGGGUUUUUCCUUCCCGGGGAAGUGCUCCUUUCCACAGCACUGUAAUGAUAUGCAGACCUUCAUCAGCUGGGAUGCUCUGUUUCCUCCGGACUAUCAGCUGUGAACAUUUCUAUUAGCAUCAGUUAAUCCUUGACCCCCUUCUUGGGUUGCUAUUUGGGUUUCUUCCAGAAGGUGAAUUGAUGCUGUGGCGUUUAGCUGCAUUAGCUAGUCAUCGUGGCAACGGAUUCCAAAUAGGUUCUGUCAUAUGUACUGCUGGAGGGGGUAGUGGAUUGGUUGGCUGCUCACUCCUAGCAUCUUUGCACCCUGAAUGUGAUCAGGGAGUAGCUAAAAGUUGGCGAAAGAAGGGGAAAAAAGGGUUGUUGACAGCACAGCAGUAAUAGAAUCUGGAAGCCCCAACUGGGGAAUUGCACGGGGCUAGAAGAACAGCGAGGCUGAAG
RNAcentral lists this long non-coding RNA (713 nucleotides) under Vulpes vulpes (red fox). Its description in RNAcentral is "lncRNA (ENSVVUG00000009338.1)". The record is from RNAcentral. Lineage: Eukaryota; Metazoa; Chordata; Mammalia; Carnivora; Canidae.